RNAcentral lists this non-coding RNA (26 nucleotides) under Mus musculus (house mouse). Lineage: Eukaryota; Metazoa; Chordata; Mammalia; Rodentia; Muridae. The record is from RNAcentral.
UAAAAAUUUUAAUACUGGGGACUGAA